RNAcentral lists this long non-coding RNA (551 nucleotides) under Cyanistes caeruleus (blue tit). RNAcentral's name for it is "lncRNA (ENSCCEG00000014770.1)". The record is from RNAcentral. Lineage: Eukaryota; Metazoa; Chordata; Aves; Passeriformes; Paridae.
GGCCCGGCCGCGCGGGCCCUGGGACGGGCGGCGAGGCGAAGGAGGGCCGGGCCCAGUACCCGCCGCCGGCCACGGGUCCCGCUCCGGGGAUGGCGGAAAGGGCAGAGACAGUGCAAGUGCUUAAAAAAAAGGUUAUAGCGUGUCCUGUGGGAACCGAAGAGUUUAAUAACUUAAAAAGAACAGACUCGAAGUUUGUAAGGCCAGAAGAGAAUAUUCACAUGACACCAAUUUUAGAUGGCAUGUGUGAGAGGCUUAUCUUCCCAGACAUCUCCAAAGGGAGGACAGAGGGCUGUAGGAAGGCUCCUGGACAGGAUCUCCUUUGGUGUGGAGGCAGUGCAGAAGACCCGCUUACAUCGAAUUCAUGGCAGGGGGCAGUGUGAAUGCCUUCCACUGGGAUAAUCUACUUCCUUCUCUUUCAUAACACUGCUAAUAGGAUGUCCUUGGAAUAUUUAUGGUUUGGAGUGGAACAUAUCUUUAACAAGGACAUGUGGUCCAAUUGAAAAAAUAAGGCAAUUUCCAGAGUCUCUAAAAUAAACAGGAGAUUCAUCACA